RNAcentral lists this long non-coding RNA (421 nucleotides) under Setaria italica (foxtail millet). Its description in RNAcentral is "long non-coding RNA (SITA_LNC003769)". Lineage: Eukaryota; Viridiplantae; Streptophyta; Magnoliopsida; Poales; Poaceae. The record is from RNAcentral.
CGGCCACGUCCGCGCUCGUUCAGGUUGUCGAGGUGGCACGCAUGCACGGUGAAAGACCACGACAUCGCUAUCCCCGCGCUUAUCCGUUUCAUCCCGCCGCUUUACAUUGCCAGGAAACUGGCUUGCGCAAAUCAGUGCCGCCGCCGGCCAAUUUACCCACGCCGCCGUCCCUCGUUGCAAUUCCACCCGCCCAAGGGUCCGCCAGCUUCUCCUCAACACCCCACGCCCCUCCGUUUCCCAGCUCCCUGCCGUCAAGCUUCGGUGUGCCGCCGUUUCCGUCCGCCGGCCGCCGUCACCCAAUCCACAAGGUGAGCUUCUAAAUCGACUGAUUCUUCUCAAUUAACGGGUCUAGGGGCAUCCUGCGAGAGUGUGGGAGCUGUUGGGGAAGUCGUGGAAGUCACUUGUGCCGCCAACAUGCGCC